GCAAGAUUAGCUUCUUUGGAUUAUUCCAAGCAAGCCCAUGCUGGUAUAGUCGCUCAUGGUUUUGGGUUGGAUACUGUAGCAAACACAACACUAGUUGACAUUUAUAGCAAAUGGGAAAGAGUAACAGAUUCUCGGUACGUUUUUGAAAAUUGGCAUUGCAACAAUGUCAGUGUUAUCCGGAGAAAAGGUUACGCUAAAGUGAGUGACAGAGUAUUCUUUGGCUUUCUAUGAAAGACACGACGGGGGCCUUUUUAAAAUAA
Molecule: unclassified non-coding RNA, 260 nt
Filed under: Hevea brasiliensis (rubber tree)
Lineage: Eukaryota; Viridiplantae; Streptophyta; Magnoliopsida; Malpighiales; Euphorbiaceae
Source: RNAcentral